RNAcentral lists this ribosomal RNA (497 nucleotides) under uncultured bacterium. RNAcentral's name for it is "partial 16S ribosomal RNA". It matches the Rfam family "Bacterial small subunit ribosomal RNA", at positions 28 to 507 of the family's 1533-position model. The record is from RNAcentral.
GAUGAACGCUGGCGGCGUGCCUAAUACAUGCAAGUCGAGCGAACAGAUGAGGAGCUUGCUCCUCUGACGUUAGCGGCGGACGGGUGAGUAACACGUGGUUAACCUACCUAUAAGACUGGGAUAACUUCGGGAAACCGGAGCUAAUACCGGAUAAUAUAUUGAACCGCAUGGUUCAAUAGUGAAAGACGGUUUUGCUGUCACUUAUAGAUGGAUCCGCGCCGCAUUAGCUAGUUGGUAAGGUAACGGCUUACCAAGGCAACGAUGCGUAGCCGACCUGAGAGGGUGAUCGGCCACACUGGAACGGAGACACGGUCCAGACUCCUACGGGAGGCAGCAGUAGGGAAUCUUCCGCAAUGGGCGAAAGCCUGACGGAGCAACGCCGCGUGAGUGAUGAAGGUCUUCGGAUCGUAAAACUCUGUUAUUAGGGAAGAACAAAUGUGUAAGUAACUAUGCACGUCUCGACGGUACCUAAUCAGAAAGCCACGGCUAACUACGUG